GCAAUUAUGCAGAUGGCGGAAAGAAAGAUGAUGAAAUGUCGUUGAGGACGCAAGCCCACAUAAUAAGGGAGCGUAUUCGGAAGACAAUAGCAGUCUGAAGUGUUUACUCUGUGGCGGGAGCCAGCCGCUCAGCCCGCACUUAGAAGGCAUUAUCUGAGUUGUGAAAAAUUACCCUCAGAAAUCAUGGAAAUUAAUGGAGAAGUUAAACAUUGAUUAAAAACAAGAUUAGAGAUUACAGGAGAAAGGUCGAGGCUGCCGGGGCAAAGAAAGCUGCAUCAGCUUCUUUUCUGCACCACCCACUGAGCGGGUCGUGUUUGAUUUGGAACCUCGAGGUCCAGAUGUAAGUGGAGCUUCCGGACACCCCGUCCUCUUUGGGGACCUCAAGUCUGCACUGGAGGGAAACAGCCGGUGGUGUCAGCCAUUCUGGCAAAAAGCCGAUGAUGUAACCGGUGAACGACGAGGACCCCUGACCCCUCUGUGACGUGCGGACCCAGGGAAGCGAAGCCAGCUUUUGUUUGUGUCCAGGUAACUGGUUGGCUUCAACAGUGGGCAGCAUUCAAAACGGAACCCAGCCCCUCUCAGCACCCGGUUUGCGAGGCGUGGACUCCAUUGCGCAGGUGAAUGAGGCACCUUGCUGUGGACAGCAGUUUUGCCUCCCAUCCUCUUUGCCAGAAACGUCAAGCAAACAGGAAAGCACUGAAAUAGACAAAGGAGGGGCUGCUGUGUUUCUUGGCAGGGAGCUGGAAAUGAGGGAGGUUGCUGGAAUAUGCACAGAACCACUUUGGGGGUGCAGGGAAGGGAGCCAGUCACGCAUAUCCACAAGAAAAUCAAUUAGACCACAGGAGGAGGACAGGAAUUUUUACCAGGAAGAAGAUUAAAAAUUUUGAAAUAAAUUUUUUCUCUAAAAGGUUAACUUCAAACCUUUCUAUGGGCUGUAAUACAUACCACCUUCUGGGCCAAAUGUUCCAUAUGGAUAAAUGCGUGCUUUCCUGUGACAAAGCAAGGAAGUACUAAGCAUCAGAAAUGUCUCAUACAAAUGUUAAGAAGAAAAAAUAAAAUGUUCCUUUGCCCAGCAACUCUCAUUGAGUCAGUUGCGUUCAUUCCUGUAGCCAGCACCCCAAUUUCAAACUGAAUGAAACCUCUGGCAUUUGUCCUGAUGCCUAGAAUUUUGAGGUAUGACAGCGUUGAUACUCUUGUACCCCACAGUUCCAGGAAGUCAGGUGAUGACAUAAUAUAAAUUCCAAAAUGAGAAUAAGUUGUGAAAAAUAUUUGUGUUUCAGAUCACGUGCAUUAGUAUUCAGAGAGAAAAGAGCAAAAAUGGCUCUUCCCAGAGCUCCCCCAGAACGUGACUGACUGUAAAUUUAUGCCUCGCACUUAGGAGAGUGAAAUGUAUCAGUCAGCAGCGGAAAAUAGAAGGGCCCUAGGGACUUAAAGCACAAAAGGGUUUAAUAGUAUGUGAGUUUCGUGCUUACAAAAUCAUCAGAAAGGUUGGGGGCCCUCUAAGGUGUUGGUCUGACUCCCUUGCCAUCAGAGAGCUGGGGAAUCGAGAAGCUGUCCAGGAACGAUUGCUUUCCGCUUCAGUGAGGUCAGGGAUCAGAAAGCCUCGUGGUCUCAGCUGUUCCCGCAGAAACCCAUCUCUUGUCCUGCAUCUGCACUGGCAAAACUGCGUGUCCUUUCAUGUCUCCCAACUCCAGGGGGCUGUGCUGCUUGCAGACAGUCUCACUUUCGUCCCCAGGUCGGCCUGCAGAAAGAGCAAAAACAUGCAAAUCAUAUCCAGACCCCAACUGUGAGAGUCUGGAAAUGAGCUCUCUUACUUCCUUUUUUUUUUUUUUAAGUUUAUUUAUUUAUUUAUCUAGCAGACAGAUAUACAAGUAGGCAGAAAGGCAGGUGGUGGGGGGAUGGGGAGCAGGCUCCCUGCUGAGCAGAGAGCCCAAUGCAGGACGUGAUCCGAGGACCCUGAGAUCAUGACCUGAGCCGAAGGCAGAGGCUUAACCCACUGAGCCACCCAGGUGUCCCAGAAGCUCUCUUACUUCUGAGGUGGGUGCCAGAAGGCACCCUGAGGGGAGCUGGAAAUGAUGGCAGCAAACCAUCCUGGCAUCACAGGUGGAGUGAAUCAGGACUGGGCCUAGAAGCCAAAGAGCCGAAUGGGAUCACUGACUCUCCCCUUGCCAGUAGCGAUGUGAUGGCCAUGAAAGCUCUUGGUUCCCUCAUGUGCAAAACAAGGAAGUUG
This is a long non-coding RNA of Mustela putorius furo (domestic ferret), 2230 nucleotides long. The record is from Ensembl. NCBI's taxonomy places the organism in Eukaryota, Metazoa, Chordata, Mammalia, Carnivora, Mustelidae.